RNAcentral lists this ribosomal RNA (433 nucleotides) under uncultured bacterium. RNAcentral describes it as "partial 16S ribosomal RNA". It matches the Rfam family "Bacterial small subunit ribosomal RNA", at positions 29 to 507 of the family's 1533-position model. The record is from RNAcentral.
AGCGAACGCUGGCGGCAGGCCUAACACAUGCAAGUCGGACGAACUCUUCGGAGUUAGUGGCGGACGGGUGAGUAACACGUGGGAACGUGCCUUUUGGUUCGGAAUAACUCAGGGAAACUUGUGCUAAUACCGAAUGUGCCCUUCGGGGGAAAGAUUUAUCGCCAUUAGAGCGGCCCGCGUCUGAUUAGCUAGUUGGUGAGGUAACGGCUCACCAAGGCGACGAUCAGUAGCUGGUUUGAGAGGAUGACCAGCCACACUGGGACUGAGACACGGCCCAGACUCCUACGGGAGGCAGCAGUGGGGAAUCUUGCGAAAUGGGCGAAAGCAUGACGCAGCCAUGCCGCGUGAAUGAUGAAGGUCUUAGGAUUGUAAAAUUCUUUCACCGGGGACGAUAAUGACGGUACCCGGAGAAGAAGCCCCGGCUAACUUCGUG